This 350-nucleotide ribosomal RNA is filed under the name Hoplostethus mediterraneus (Mediterranean slimehead). RNAcentral describes it as "partial 12S ribosomal RNA". It matches the Rfam family "Bacterial small subunit ribosomal RNA", at positions 801 to 1360 of the family's 1533-position model. The record is from RNAcentral. Lineage: Eukaryota; Metazoa; Chordata; Actinopteri; Trachichthyiformes; Trachichthyidae.
AAACAUUGAUAGUCAUUACACCCACCAUCCGCCCGGGAACUACGAGCNCCAGCGUAAAACCCAAAGGACUUGGCGGUGCUUAGACCCACCUAGAGGAGCCUGUUCUAGAACCGAUAACCCCCGUUCAACCUCACCCUCUCUUGUUUUCCCCGCCUAUAUACCGCCGUCGUCAGCUUACCCUGUGAAGGUCUUAUAGUAAGCAAAAUUGGCAUAGCCCAAAACGUCAGGUCGAGGUGUAGCGUAUGAGAGGGAAGAAAUGGGCUACAUUCUCUGCCCCAGAGAACACGAACGGUGUAAUGAAACACACACCUGAAGGAGGAUUUAGCAGUAAGUAGAAAAUAGAGCGUCCU